CGGAGGGAGCUAGCGUUGUUCGGAAUUACUGGGCGUAAAGCGCGCGUAGGCGGCUUUGUAAGUUAGAGGUGAAAGCCCGGGGCUCAACUCCGGAACUGCCUUUAAAACUGCAUCGCUUGAAUCCAGGAGAGGUGAGUGGAAUUCCGAGUGUAGAGGUGAAAUUCGUAGAUAUUCGGAAGAACACCAGUGGCGAAGGCGGCUCACUGGACUGGUAUUGACGCUGAGGUGCGAAAGCAUGGGGAGCAAACAGGAUUAGAUACCCUGGUAGUCCACGCCGUAAACGAUGAUAACUAGCUGUCAGGGGCCAUGGGCUUUUGGUGGCGCAGCUAACGCAUUAAGUUAUCCGCCUGGGGAGUACGGCCGCAAGGUUA
This 371-nucleotide ribosomal RNA is filed under the name uncultured organism. RNAcentral describes it as "bacterial SSU rRNA". It matches the Rfam family "Bacterial small subunit ribosomal RNA", at positions 526 to 896 of the family's 1533-position model. The record is from RNAcentral.